AUUGAACGCUGGCGGCAGGCCUAACACAUGCAAGUCGAGCGGAUGAAGGGAGCUUGCCCCUGGAUUCAGCGGCGGACGGGUGAGUAAUGCCUAGGAAUCUGCCUGGUAGUGGGGGAUAACGUCCGGAAACGGGCGCUAAUACCGCAUACGUCCUGAGGGAGAAAGUGGGGGAUCUUCGGACCUCACGCUAUCAGAUGAGCCUAGGUCGGAUUAGCUAGUUGGUGGGGUAAAGGCCUACCAAGGCGACGAUCCGUAACUGGUCUGAGAGGAUGAUCUGUCACACUGGAACUGAGACACGGUCCAGACUCCUACGGGAGGCAGCAGUGGGGAAUAUUGGACAAUGGGCGAAAGCCUGAUCCAGCCAUGCCGCGUGUGUGAAGAAGGUCUUCGGAUUGUAAAGCACUUUAAGUUGGGAGGAAGGGCAGUAAGUUAAUACCUUGCUGUUUUGACGUUACCAACAGAAUAAGCACCGGCUAACUUCGUG
Molecule: ribosomal RNA, 484 nt
Filed under: uncultured bacterium
Lineage: Bacteria
Description: partial 16S ribosomal RNA
Rfam family: Bacterial small subunit ribosomal RNA
Source: RNAcentral